This 468-nucleotide ribosomal RNA is filed under the name uncultured bacterium. RNAcentral describes it as "partial 16S ribosomal RNA". It matches the Rfam family "Bacterial small subunit ribosomal RNA", at positions 28 to 507 of the family's 1533-position model. The record is from RNAcentral.
GACGAACGCUGGCGGCGUGCUUAACACAUGCAAGUCGAACGGAAAGGCCCUGCUUUUGUGGUGUGCUCGGGUGGCGAACGGGUGAGUAACACGUGAGUAACCUGCCCUUGACUUUGGGAUAACUUCAGGAAACUGGGGCUAAUACCGGAUAGGAGCUCCUGCUGCAUGGUGGGGGUUGGAAAGUUUCGGCGGUUGGGGAUGGACUCGCGGCUUAUCAGCUUGUUGGUGGGGUAGUGGCUUACCAAGGCUUUGACGGGUAGGCGGCCUGAGAGGGUGACCGGCCACAUUGGGACUGAGAUACGGCCCAGUCUCCUACGGGAGGCAGCAGGGGGGAAUAUUGCACAAUGGGCGGAAGCCUGAUGCAGCAACGCUGCGUGCGGGAUGACGGCCUUCGGGUUGUAAACCGCUUUCGCCUGUGACGAAGCGUGAGUGACGGUAAUGGGUAAAGAAGCACCGGCUAACUACGUG